This 91-nucleotide transfer RNA is filed under the name Streptomyces sp. ADI96-15. RNAcentral's name for it is "tRNA-Ala". The record is from RNAcentral. Lineage: Bacteria; Bacillati; Actinomycetota; Actinomycetes; Kitasatosporales; Streptomycetaceae.
CUGCUGCUGGGCGGUGAGGGAGCGCAGCCGGUCGAGCAGUCCGGUGGCUGAUGCCGGUGAGGUGGCCGCGGCGUUCCGCCGCCGUACCGGG